RNAcentral lists this ribosomal RNA (464 nucleotides) under uncultured bacterium. RNAcentral describes it as "bacterial SSU rRNA". It matches the Rfam family "Bacterial small subunit ribosomal RNA", at positions 29 to 524 of the family's 1533-position model. The record is from RNAcentral.
AACGAACGCUGGCGGCAUGCCUAACACAUGCAAGUCGAACGGGAUCCGGACUUCGGUCCGGUGAGAGUGGCGGACGGGUGAGUAACACGUGGGAACCUGCCUUUUGGUUCGGGAUAACCGCGGGAAACUGCGGCUAAUACCGGAUGCUCCCGAGAGGGAAAAGAUUUAUCGCCAGAAGAGGGGCCCGCGUCCGAUUAGGUAGUUGGUGGGGUAAUGGCCUACCAAGCCGACGAUCGGUAGCUGGUCUGAGAGGAUGAUCAGCCACACUGGGACUGAGAUACGGCCCAGACUCCUACGGGAGGCAGCAGUGGGGAAUAUUGGACAAUGGGGGGCGAACCCCUGAUCCAGCAAUGCCGCGUGAGUGAUGAAGGCCUUAGGGUUGUAAAGCUCUUUUGCCAGGGAAGAUGAUGACUGUACCUGGAGAAUAAGCCCCGGCUAACUUCGUGCCAGCAGCCGCGGGUAAU